Molecule: ribosomal RNA, 490 nt
Filed under: Palaemon vietnamicus
Lineage: Eukaryota; Metazoa; Arthropoda; Malacostraca; Decapoda; Palaemonidae
Description: partial small subunit ribosomal RNA
Source: RNAcentral
GGGUGAAAUCUAUAUACUUAUUAGUGAUGUGUUGUUUUUAAGAUUUAUUUUAAAACUAUCGAAAUUUAGAUUUAAACCAGGAUUAGAUACCCUGUUAUACUAAAAUGAAACAUAAUUACGCUUGAGUAGUAAAAAGUUAUGAUCUCGAAACUUAGAGGAUUUGGCGGUAUUUAAUUCUAGUUAGAGGAACCUGCUCUGUGAACGAUAUGCCACGAAUUAUCUUACUUUAUCUUGUAUUCAGUUUGUAUACCUCCAUUACAAGUAAUAUUUUUAAAUAUUUUCUGAGAUAGAAAGCUUCUAAUAUAUUAGGUCAAGGUGCAGCUAAUGGUAGAGUAGUUGUGGGUUACAGUAUGUUAUACAUUUGUGGAUAAGUGUUAUGAAAUUAUGCUUUGAAAUUGGAUUUAAUUGUAUUCUUAAAAUAAUAAGUUAAGAUGAUAACAGCUCUAAAAUAUGUACACAUCGCCCGUCGCUCUCAUUAUAAGGUGAGAUA